AGCUUAGUGGUAGAGCGCUUGCCUACUAUGUGUGAGGCCCUGGGUUCAAUCCCCAG
This 56-nucleotide transfer RNA is filed under the name Fukomys damarensis (Damara mole-rat). It matches the Rfam family "tRNA", at positions 9 to 63 of the family's 71-position model. Rfam says of the family: Transfer RNA (tRNA) molecules are approximately 80 nucleotides in length. Lineage: Eukaryota; Metazoa; Chordata; Mammalia; Rodentia; Bathyergidae. The record is from Rfam by way of RNAcentral.